This 294-nucleotide ribosomal RNA is filed under the name Ctenophora environmental sample. RNAcentral's name for it is "partial Bacterial large subunit ribosomal RNA". It matches the Rfam family "Bacterial large subunit ribosomal RNA", at positions 1984 to 2278 of the family's 2925-position model. Lineage: Eukaryota; Metazoa; Ctenophora. The record is from RNAcentral.
UGACCUGCACGAAUGGCGUAACGAUGGCCACGCUGUCUCCACCCAAGGCUCAGUGAAAUUGAAAUUGCUGUGAAGAUGCAGUGUACCCGUGGCAAGACGAGAAGACCCCGUGCACCUUUACUAUAGCUUUACAUUGGAUUUUAUUUAGAUUUGUGUAGCAUAGGUGGGAGGCUUUGAAGUGAGAGCGCUAGCUUUCAUGGAGCCAACAUUGAAAUACCACCCUGAUUUAGAUGACAUCCUAACCAUAAGUGAGUACAAACGGAGGGACAAUGUAUGGUGGGUAGUUUGACUGGG